This 585-nucleotide long non-coding RNA is filed under the name Physcomitrium patens. RNAcentral's name for it is "long non-coding RNA (PPAT_LNC010271)". Lineage: Eukaryota; Viridiplantae; Streptophyta; Bryopsida; Funariales; Funariaceae. The record is from RNAcentral.
CCAAUCUUAGAAAGCAAUCAAGCAAGUUACAUGAUCAUUCUCCAAAUAAUACACCUUUCUGUGCAUUUCAUGGCAUCCUGGGCUUCGCCAAACGUGCUUCCGAAGAAACUAAUUCAAUCGCGGAGCAUGUGUCUGUUCAAUGGACUCACUCUCUAGAACUAUUCUUCGGAUGACAAGGAAUUGUUUCGACAUGAGAAUUGACGAGUCUCCACGUCAACCAAUGUUGUCUAGCAGGCCCACUUGCCGCUUUGAGGGAGGGGAAGUUGUUUCAGGGGUUUUGCUAGCUAAUCAAGUCCCCUAACAAGUCGCAGCAGGCUGUGGGUCAUCGAGGAAGAACCAGAGUUGGGUGCAGCGUGAGACUUCACUGAUGGAAAUGCUCAUGUUCGAUGUCGAAACUGCAGUUCAAAGUCAUGCAAAGCGUGCUGAGAUGAGUCGUAGAAUGGAGCUGUGAGAGUGUGAAGCUCAGGACUGGAGGCUCUGUUCAGUGAGCAAACCGGCGGUGUGCGCACUUUCAGUUCCAGGCACAGACUUCGACGUGAAGGAAGCGAUGGGCGUGUAGAGUUGCUGCUUGUUUGCAAGUGUGUC